Molecule: transfer RNA, 76 nt
Filed under: Microbacterium testaceum
Lineage: Bacteria; Bacillati; Actinomycetota; Actinomycetes; Micrococcales; Microbacteriaceae
Description: tRNA-Arg
Source: RNAcentral
UUCGCGGCGUGGAAGGCGGCGACCUUCCCCACGCCCCUGGCCUGGGGCGCGUCGUUCGACCCGGAGGCCGUGGAGC